GGGUGCGAUCAUACCCGCACUAAUGCACCGGA
RNAcentral lists this ribosomal RNA (32 nucleotides) under Platanus occidentalis var. palmeri. The record is from RNAcentral. Lineage: Eukaryota; Viridiplantae; Streptophyta; Magnoliopsida; Proteales; Platanaceae.